UGCCUGUACAACCACUGUUACACCCUCAUCCAAACCAAAACAAUUUUACAACUUCUAUAUCGGAUACUGCCAGUCCAGGGCUUUUAAGACCGGUUUGCAAUGGAACAGAUGAAAAUUUCUUUUUUGACCUUUCCUUUGCAAACACAGGUCUCCUUGCUAUUAACUUGGAAAUAUCCUUCAUCACAAAUCAGUACAGUCGAUAAUACCUCUCUAAUUUAAAGAUUAGUAUAUACCUAUCAUCUCUUGUACCUAUACCAAACCAAUGCAACUAAUU
Molecule: long non-coding RNA, 274 nt
Filed under: Mytilus galloprovincialis (Mediterranean mussel)
Lineage: Eukaryota; Metazoa; Mollusca; Bivalvia; Mytilida; Mytilidae
Source: RNAcentral